UCGUGCUAGGCGGGGAGCUAGCGGUGCCCUGUACCCGCAAUCCGCUAUAGCGGGGCGGAAUCCCGCGCUCAAGGCCUGGCCCAGCCGAGUCUGCUCGGGCUAUUCGUCGUUGAAGGCCGGGUUCUACGCGGCGGAGCCCUGUGAACCCCGUCAGGUCCGGAAGGAAGCAGCGGUAAACGGCAAGCUCCGGGUGCCGUAGAGCGGCCUGGCCGGAGCCGAAUAGUUCGGGCAAGGCGAGUGGGUCCUUGUCGACGGCGCGGUGCACGA
RNAcentral lists this signal recognition particle RNA (267 nucleotides) under Chloroflexota bacterium. Its description in RNAcentral is "signal recognition particle sRNA large type". It matches the Rfam family "Bacterial large signal recognition particle RNA". Rfam says of the family: The signal recognition particle (SRP) is a universally conserved ribonucleoprotein involved in the co-translational targeting of proteins to membranes. Archaeal SRP consists of a 7S RNA and homologues of the eukaryotic SRP19 and SRP54 proteins. Lineage: Bacteria; Bacillati; Chloroflexota. The record is from RNAcentral.